This 280-nucleotide ribosomal RNA is filed under the name uncultured Staphylococcus sp. Its description in RNAcentral is "partial 16S ribosomal RNA". It matches the Rfam family "Bacterial small subunit ribosomal RNA", at positions 83 to 355 of the family's 1533-position model. Lineage: Bacteria; Bacillati; Bacillota; Bacilli; Caryophanales; Staphylococcaceae. The record is from RNAcentral.
CCUUUGACGUUAGCGGCGGACGGGUGAGUAACACGUGGGUAACCUACCUAUAAGACUGGGAUAACUUCGGGAAACCGGAGCUAAUACCGGAUAAUAUUUCGAACCGCAUGGUUCGAUAGUGAAAGAGUGGUUUUGCUAUCACUUAUAGAUGGACCCGCGCCGUAUUAGCUAGUUGGUAAGGUAACGGCUUACCAAGGCGACGAUACGUAGCCGACCUGAGAGGGUGAUCGGCCACACUGGAACUGAGACACGGUCCAGACUCCUACGGGAGGCAGCAGCC